ACUUACGUGCUUACGCUUAAAACCCAAAGGACUUGACGGUGUCCCACCCACCUAGAGGAGCCUGUUCUAUAAUCGACACUCCCCGCUUCACCUCACCAUUUUUAGCCUCUCAGCCUGUAUACCUCCGUCGUAAGCUUACCCUAUGAAUGUAUUAGUAAGCCCAAAGGUCCACCCACCAAUACGUCAGGUCAAGGUGCAGCUCAUAAAAUGGAAAGCAAUGGGCUACAAUUUCUAACCUAGAACAAACGAAAAACUGUAUGAAACACAGUUACGAAGGCGGAUUUAGCAGUAAAAAGAAAAUAGAGUGUUCUUUUUAAUCAGGCCCUGGGACGCGUACACACCGCCCGUCACCCU
Molecule: ribosomal RNA, 354 nt
Filed under: Arthroleptella villiersi (De Villiers' moss frog)
Lineage: Eukaryota; Metazoa; Chordata; Amphibia; Anura; Pyxicephalidae
Description: partial 12S ribosomal RNA
Rfam family: Bacterial small subunit ribosomal RNA
Source: RNAcentral